This 294-nucleotide ribosomal RNA is filed under the name uncultured bacterium. RNAcentral describes it as "partial 16S ribosomal RNA". It matches the Rfam family "Archaeal small subunit ribosomal RNA", at positions 454 to 747 of the family's 1478-position model. The record is from RNAcentral.
UGUGCCAGCCGCCGCGGUAAUACCGGCAGCUCAAGUGAUGUCCCAUAUUAUUGGGCCUAAAGCGUCCGUAGCUGGCUGCGCAAGUCCGUCGGGAAAUCCACUCGCCCAACGAGUGGGCGACCGGCGGAAACUGUUCGGCUUGGGGCCGGAGGACCCGAGGGGUACGUCCGGGGUAGGAGUGAAAUCCUGUAAUCCUGGACGGACCGCCGGUGGCGAAAGCGCCUCGGGAGGACGGACCCGACGGUGAGGGACGAAAGCCAGGGUCUCGAACCGGAUUAGAAACCCGAGUAGUCC